CAGCAGCCGCGGGAAUACGGAGGGUGCAAGCGUUAAUCGGAAUUACUGGGCGUAAAGCGCACGCAGGCGGUUUGUUAAGUCAGAUGUGAAAUCCCCGAGCUUAACUUGGGAACUGCAUUUGAAACUGGCAAGCUAGAGUCUUGUAGAGGGGGGUAGAAUUCUAGGUGUAGCGGUGAAAUGCGUAGAGAUCUGGAGGAAUACCGGUGGCGAAGGCGGCCCCCUGGACAAAGACUGACGCUCAAGUGCGAAAGCGUGGGGAGCAAACAGGAUUAGAUACCCCUGUAGUCCCUGUCUCUUAUAC
This 301-nucleotide ribosomal RNA is filed under the name uncultured bacterium. RNAcentral's name for it is "partial 16S ribosomal RNA". It matches the Rfam family "Bacterial small subunit ribosomal RNA", at positions 509 to 807 of the family's 1533-position model. The record is from RNAcentral.